RNAcentral lists this ribosomal RNA (278 nucleotides) under uncultured eukaryote. Its description in RNAcentral is "partial 18S ribosomal RNA". It matches the Rfam family "Eukaryotic small subunit ribosomal RNA", at positions 21 to 299 of the family's 1831-position model. The record is from RNAcentral.
UAGUCAUAUGCUUGUCUCAAAGAUUAAGCCAUGCAUGUCUAAGUAUAAACAACUUUGUACUGUGAAACUGCGAAUGGCUCAUUAAAUCAGUUAUAGUUUAUUUGAUGGUGCUUACUACAUGGAUAACCGUGGUAAUUCUAGAGCUAAUACAUGCGUAAAAGACCCGACUGUUUGGGAGGGUUGUAUUUAUUAGAUAAAAAACCAAUCAGCGCAAGCUGUCUGAGGUGAAUCAUAAUAACUUUGCGAAUCGCAUGGCCUUGUGCCGGCGAUGAAUCAUU